This 203-nucleotide microRNA precursor is filed under the name Oryza sativa Indica Group (long-grained rice). RNAcentral's name for it is "MIR812 microRNA precursor family". It matches the Rfam family "MIR812 microRNA precursor family". Lineage: Eukaryota; Viridiplantae; Streptophyta; Magnoliopsida; Poales; Poaceae. The record is from Rfam by way of RNAcentral.
AAUAAAUGGCACCGUUGAUUUUUUCUCACAUGUUUGACCAUUCGUCUAAUUAAAAAAUUUAUGUAAUUAUAAUUUAUUUUGUUAUGAGUUCUUUUAUCACUCAUAGUACUUUAAAUUUGAUUUAUAUCUUAUAUAUUUGUAAAAAAAAAUUAAAUAAGACGAAUGGUUAAACAUAUGAGAAAAAGUAAACGGCGUCAACUAUU